RNAcentral lists this ribosomal RNA (435 nucleotides) under uncultured soil bacterium. RNAcentral's name for it is "bacterial SSU rRNA". It matches the Rfam family "Bacterial small subunit ribosomal RNA", at positions 26 to 507 of the family's 1533-position model. The record is from RNAcentral.
AGAACGAACGCUGGCGGCAGGCUUAACACAUGCAAGUCGAACGGUUGUAGCAAUACAGCAGUGGCAGACGGGUGAGUAACACGUGGGAACCUUCCUAGGGGUACGGAACAACUCAGGGAAACUUGAGCUAAUACCGUAUACGUCCGUGAGGAGAAAGUUUUAACGCCCCUAGACGGGCCCGCGUAGGAUUAGGUAGUUGGUGAGGUAACGGCUCACCAAGCCUACGAUCCUUAGCUGAUCUGAGAGGAUGAUCAGCCACACUGGGACUGAGACACGGCCCAGACUCCUACGGGAGGCAGCAGUGGGGAAUCUUGGACAAUGGGCGCAAGCCUGAUCCAGCCAUGCCGCGUGAGUGAAGAGGCCUUGGGUUGUAAAGCUCUUUACCAGGGACGAUAAUGACGGUACCUGGAGAAUAACGCCCGGACAAACUUCGUG